AGGCUUAGUUUUCUCGUAGAGAAACUUGCCUAGCCGGUGGUUCUCCUUGCAAAAAUCCUGAGGCCCUAGUUUUUCGCAAGAACGCCCACCUAGGUUCAGUUUUCUCAUCGAGUAUAAGCGCCUCCGACCCUUCAGGCGAGUAUAAGCGCCAAGCCGACCAUUUUCGCGGGGGAUUAUAAGCGCCCUCGGGGCCAUCUCCUCAAAAAGAAGGGAAAGGG
This 218-nucleotide long non-coding RNA is filed under the name Brachypodium distachyon (stiff brome). Its description in RNAcentral is "long non-coding RNA (BDIS_LNC004632)". The record is from RNAcentral. Lineage: Eukaryota; Viridiplantae; Streptophyta; Magnoliopsida; Poales; Poaceae.